Molecule: long non-coding RNA, 310 nt
Organism: Photinus pyralis (common eastern firefly)
Lineage: Eukaryota; Metazoa; Arthropoda; Insecta; Coleoptera; Lampyridae
Exons: 2
Source: RefSeq, a predicted model, not a curated record
GUACACCUCCGUAGUAUCUUCCCGUCGCCCCGUCCUGCCUAACCUGGGGCACAGUGCUCCCGCCUACGUUAACCAUAAGGGGCUGAAAGCCGUCACGUGAAAGACAGCACUGCACGUGGAAAUUAACCUACAGUCCGACACGAAAACGGCAUUGACAGCAAACCAGCUGACACGCUGGGGCCAGAUAACUACCGGCAGAUGGCAGUACUCCCCAAGUAAAUACGAGGACUGCUCCGGAAAUCUUUUAUAUUAUUUUAUUUUGUAUAUAUAUAUUUUUAUUUUCUAUUUAGACAAUACACUUUUACUUUUC